GACGAACGCUGGCGGCGUGCUUAACACAUGCAAGUCGAACGGUGAAGCUCCAGCUUGCUGGAGUGGAUCAGUGGCGAACGGGUGAGUAACACGUGAGCAACCUCCCCCUGACUCUGGAAUAAGCGCUGGAAACGGCGUCUAAUACUGGAUACGAGAAGGGUCCGCAUGGGCACUUCCUGGAAAGUUUUUCGGUUGGGGAUGGGCUCGCGGCCUAUCAGCUUGUUGGUGAGGUAAUGGCUCACCAAGGCGACGACGGGUAGCCGGCCUGAGAGGGCGACCGGCCACACUGGGACUGAGACACGGCCCAGACUCCUACGGGAGGCAGCAGUGGGGAAUAUUGCACAAUGGGCGAAAGCCUGAUGCAGCGACGCCGCGUGAGGGAUGACGGCCUUCGGGUUGUAAACCUCUUUCAGCAGGGAAGAAGCGAAAGUGACGGUACCUGCAGAAGAAGCACCGGCUAACUACGUG
This 468-nucleotide ribosomal RNA is filed under the name uncultured bacterium. RNAcentral's name for it is "partial 16S ribosomal RNA". It matches the Rfam family "Bacterial small subunit ribosomal RNA", at positions 28 to 507 of the family's 1533-position model. The record is from RNAcentral.